RNAcentral lists this ribosomal RNA (393 nucleotides) under uncultured bacterium. Its description in RNAcentral is "partial 16S ribosomal RNA". It matches the Rfam family "Bacterial small subunit ribosomal RNA", at positions 523 to 918 of the family's 1533-position model. The record is from RNAcentral.
AUACGGAGGAUCCGAGCGUUAUCCGGAUUUAUUGGGUUUAAAGGGAGCGUAGGCGGACGCUUAAGUCAGUUGUGAAAGUUUGCGGCUCAACCGUAAAAUUGCAGUUGAUACUGGGUGUCUUGAGUACAGUAGAGGCAGGCGGAAUUCGUGGUGUAGCGGUGAAAUGCUUAGAUAUCACGAAGAACUCCGAUUGCGAAGGCAGCCUGCUGGACUGUAACUGACGCUGAUGCUCGAAAGUGUGGGUAUCAAACAGGAUUAGAUACCCUGGUAGUCCACACAGUAAACGAUGAAUACUCGCUGUUUGCGAUAUACAGUAAGCGGCCAAGCGAAAGCGUUAAGUAUUCCACCUGGGGAGUACGCCGGCAACAGUGAAACUCAAAGGAAUUGACGGGG